RNAcentral lists this ribosomal RNA (489 nucleotides) under uncultured bacterium. Its description in RNAcentral is "bacterial SSU rRNA". It matches the Rfam family "Bacterial small subunit ribosomal RNA", at positions 44 to 565 of the family's 1533-position model. The record is from RNAcentral.
GUGCCUAACACAUGCAAGUCGAACGAGAAAGUGGAGCAAUCCAUGAGUAAAGUGGCGACCGGGUGAGUAACACGUGACUAACCUACCCUCGAGUGGGGAAUAACUCCGGGAAACCGGGGCUAAUACCGCAUAACAUCGCAAGAUCAAAGCAGCAAUGCGCUUGAGGAGGGGGUCGCGGCUGAUUAGCUAGUUGGCGGGGUAACGGCCCACCAAGGCGAAGAUCGGUAUCCGGCCUGAGAGGGCGCACGGACACACUGGAACUGAAACACGGUCCAGACUCCUACGGGAGGCAGCAGUGGGGAAUUUUGCGCAAUGGGGGAAACCCUGACGCAGCAACGCCGCGUGGAGGAUGAAGCCCUUUGGGGCGUAAACUCCUUUCGACUCGGACGAUAAUGACGGUACGAGUGGAAGAAGCACCGGCUAACUCUGUGCCAGCAGCCGCGGUAAUACAGAGGGUGCGAGCGUUGUUCGGAAUUAUUGGGCGUAAAG